AUUAGAGAGGGGCUUAUGCGAGUAUCCUUUGCUAUUACCCUGUGGUCAUUGUCGAGGGUUUGAACACUAUCGCCUAGGCACGAUCCUGACCCUGAGCAUUCACAGGGACCUAAACCAGACCUAAACCAGACGUGUGUUUGACUCUUGCACUCCAAUGGAGGUUGAAGGCAAUUCCAAUACUGGGAGGACAGGCGCCAGUAUUGGAGAUGCGCUCGAAUCUGGAAGGACAGCGGUACCACGGGCAGGUGGUGUAGUGCUGGACCUGUCAGCAGUUGGAGGGAUUCCCCGCUGCUCAGACCUGUAAAACCUUCUUGGUUCAGAGCAACCCGGAGGAGCAGCUCCCGGAUCUGGGAGAGGAGGCCAAGAUGUGGCAGAAAGAGAAGUAUGACUUUGUUCCAGGUGAGGACAAGGACCAAGAAGACGUGAAUCCCACAACAGCAGGGGACCUCGCGCACACUGAAGAUGACAACAUAAUCAAUGCAAAACCUGGUACGGAUCAGGGUGGGGCACAAUGGUGAGUCAGAGGCAAAACCUGGU
Molecule: long non-coding RNA, 537 nt
Organism: Electrophorus electricus (electric eel)
Lineage: Eukaryota; Metazoa; Chordata; Actinopteri; Gymnotiformes; Gymnotidae
Source: Ensembl